This 745-nucleotide long non-coding RNA is filed under the name Rattus norvegicus (Norway rat). RNAcentral's name for it is "long non-coding RNA NONRATT018220". Lineage: Eukaryota; Metazoa; Chordata; Mammalia; Rodentia; Muridae. The record is from RNAcentral.
GGCUGGGCCGAGGUAACCGUCUUUCCGACGAGGUCUCUGAGCUAUUCGCGCUCGGAAGGGUGGCCCCGGGGACCGCGGAGCGGCCUGUGGCACCGUAGGGGCUAGGCAGCUUGCAGCCGAGUCCCGGGGCGCAGGAAGCAGAUCUUCCUCUCCAACCCCCGCCCUCCCUGCUCGGCGCACACCUCCUCCCUGACGCAUUUUGCCGCACAAGCUGUAAUAUGGCGGCAGCGACAGCGGCCUCGGCUCUCGGGAGCUAGGUUCUUUUGGAUGCUUCCAAACCGAGAGACUGAGCGCUGCAACGUGGAACAAAACGAUUGACUCAGUUAUCCUUGGUGGGUUUUCGUUUUUUAUUGUUUCCCCUAAACUGAAAGACUGAAGUGUCGGAACCAUGGGAAUAAAGGUUCAGCGUCCUCGAUGUUUUUUUGACAUUGCCAUUAAUAAUCAACCUGCUGGAAGAGUUGUCUUUGAAUUAUUUUCCGAUGUAUGUCCCAAAACGUGUGAGAACUUUCGUUGUCUUUGUACAGGUGAAAAGGGGACAGGGAAAUCAACUCAGAAGCCAUUACAUUAUAAGAGCUGUCUCUUUCAUAGAGUUGUCAAGGAUUUCAUGGUUCAGGGUGGUGACUUCAGUGAAGGGAAUGGAAGAGGAGGAGAAUCAAUUUAUGGAGGAUUCUUUGAAGAUGAGAGUUUUGCUGUUAAACACAACAAAGAGUUUCUCUUAUCAAUGGCCAACAGAGGGAAGGAUACA